Molecule: ribosomal RNA, 327 nt
Filed under: uncultured eukaryote
Lineage: Eukaryota
Description: partial 18S ribosomal RNA
Rfam family: Eukaryotic small subunit ribosomal RNA
Source: RNAcentral
CCCUUAGAUGUUCUGGGCCGCACGCGCGCUACACUGACGGAUUCAACGAGCUUACAACCUUGGCCGAAAGGUCUGGGUAAUCUCCAAAAUCCGUCGUGAUGGGGAUAGAUUAUUGCAAUUAUUAAUCUUCAACGAGGAAUGCCUAGUAAGCGCAAGUCAUCAGCUUGCGUUGAUUACGUCCCUGCCCUUUGUACACACCGCCCGUCGCUCCUACCGAUUGAAUGGUCCGGUGAAGCGUUUGGACUAUGGUUUUCUGAUGGUCCGCCGUUGGAUUACCGUGGGAAGUUCGUUAAACCUUAUCAUUUAGAGGAAGGAGAAGUCGUAACA